GAUGAACGCUGGCGGCGUGCCUAAUACAUGCAAGUCGAGCGAACGGACGAGAAGCUUGCUUUUCUGAUGUUAGCGGCGGACGGGUGAGUAACACGUGGAUAACCUACCUAUAAGACUGGGAUAACUUCGGGAAACCGGAGCUAAUACCGGAUAAUAUUUUGAACCGCAUGGUUCAAUAGUGAAAGACGGUCUUGCUGUCACUUAUAGAUGGAUCCGCGCUGCAUUAGCUAGUUGGUAAGGUAACGGCUUACCAAGGCAACGAUGCAUAGCCGACCUGAGAGGGUGAUCGGCCACACUGGAACUGAGACACGGUCCAGACUCCUACGGGAGGCAGCAGUAGGGAAUCUUCCGCAAUGGGCGAAAGCCUGACGGAGCAACGCCGCGUGAGUGAUGAAGGUCUUCGGAUCGUAAAACUCUGUUAUUAGGGAAGAACAUAUGUGUAAGUAACUGUGCACAUCAUGACGGUACCUAAUCAGAAAGCCACGGCUAACUACGUG
This 497-nucleotide ribosomal RNA is filed under the name uncultured bacterium. Its description in RNAcentral is "partial 16S ribosomal RNA". It matches the Rfam family "Bacterial small subunit ribosomal RNA", at positions 28 to 507 of the family's 1533-position model. The record is from RNAcentral.